This 253-nucleotide unclassified non-coding RNA is filed under the name uncultured Bacillaceae bacterium. RNAcentral's name for it is "contains 16S-23S intergenic spacer region". It matches the Rfam family "Bacterial small subunit ribosomal RNA", at positions 524 to 776 of the family's 1533-position model. The record is from RNAcentral. Lineage: Bacteria; Bacillati; Bacillota; Bacilli; Caryophanales; Bacillaceae.
UACGUAGGAGGCAAGCGUUGUCCGGAUUUAUUGGGCGUAAAGCGCGCGCAGGCGGUCCCUUAAGUCUGAUGUGAAAGCCCACGGCUCAACCGUGGAGGGUCAUUGGAAACUGGGAGACUUGAGUACAGAAGAGGAGAGCGGAAUUCGACGUGUAGCGGUGAAAUGCGUAGAUAUGUGGCGGAACACCAGUGGCGAAGGCGACUCUCUGGUCUGUAACUGACGCUGAGGCGCGAAAGCGUGGGGAGCAAACAUG